This is a long non-coding RNA of Oreochromis niloticus (Nile tilapia), 1111 nucleotides long. RefSeq lists it as uncharacterized. The transcript is spliced from 6 exons. NCBI's taxonomy places the organism in Eukaryota, Metazoa, Chordata, Actinopteri, Cichliformes, Cichlidae. The record is from RefSeq and is a predicted model, not a curated record.
AAUUCCGACAGUGAGAGGAACGGCCGGAUACAGGAGACGGGAAGAAACAAGCCGAUUAUGUUCGCGUUAAUUAGGUGGUUGGAAGAUGUAAAAUUCUCAAUUCUGCCAACUGAACAUAUACGAGAUUUUAAUGAGGAUGAAUAAUUAGCCGGCAUGGAGGAAACGGACCUUUAUUUGGUGGAGUGGCGACAAGGAGCCAAAAGGCGGGUGGCCGGUCUAUGAAGCCUCCAUCAUCAAGCUAGCAGCCCAUGAAAUCGAACGCAGAUCUUCCUGAUGUGAGAUUUACAUAAAUAUGUCAAAGUCUCAACCUCAUGCUGCCCUCCCCCAUCCUCCUAAAUUUCAAUGGUGCGUGUUCUCCUAAUGGCCGCCUUCCCACUGGAGGUUUUGAUCCACAGCAAUUUAAAAGGAGGACAAAGCAAAACGGACAUCGGCGCAGAGUGAAGAACUGCCCUUCAUAAGGACACUAUGACAGCCAUAUAUACUUAUUGACAACCACCCUUCAGUGAACAAUAAUUGGAUCAACUGAGGAGCCAGAUGCAUCUCUCGGGUCCUGUGUCAGGUCUUUGCUGGAUUUUUUUCCUAUUUUUUCUGUCUUUUACCUGUCUGGUUUCCUUAGGUUUUUAAAGGAUAUGCUGCAUGAAGAUUCAGAUGCAACUUGUUGGUGCAAAAAUACUAUUUUACAUGCGUCAAACUGUGUUACUGUUGGUAUUUUUCAUAGAUUAAAGUAAAGAAAUGAAAAGAAAUGAUGUGUUUUUGUGACAGGCUGCUGAAGAUACAAUUUAAAAUAUAUAUUUUGUUCUUUUGUUGGAUUUUAUGUGUAGACACAACACUGAUUCAUGCCUCGAGUUAGUGUUUUUAUGCUUGAAUGAUUCACAGGUCAGUGUUAAGUGCUUAACAACAAAAGAGAAGAAGCAUUCCUCUGAAAAUGGUACAUUUCAAGGACUUUACUAUUUUGUCAAAGGCAAAGUGACAAGAACAGGGGAAGGAUUAAGCCUAACCAAUCCAAAGAAAAGAAAUAACUAGGAAAUUAAAUAGAGAGUAAAGAAGUUGGUUUUUUUUUUUAAGAAAUCAGAUCCAUUCACACUAAAUUCAUUCAUUAAACACUUGAAGG